UUUCGCACUGUCCUUUCUCACCUAACAAAAACGACAGGAAAGAUGAAUGAGUGUUUGCAUCUUACUUCGAACGCAAAACUAGAUGGAUUCUGUAGAGGGAGAUAGCGAUUGAAAGGAGAAGGGUGAUGAAGGUAGAAAAACCCUAGAAUUGAAUAAUCUAGUUACAGUGCUAAUAAGGAAGCCACAUUCGAUGAACUAGCAAGAAUGGCGAGUUUGCACAACGCGUUCAAUAGCCUUGUUGAUGAACGUAAAUCUACUCUAUAAGCAAAUAAUCGUAAAAGCAAAAGAAACUACAAAACCUGAAGCAUACAUUACACGGGUUUGUUUGUUGUAUAUACCUUGGUCCAUCGUAGCUGGCUAUCUGUAUCAGAAACCUUGAAGAUACUAGUUUUUGCUGGUUUCCACCCGCAACUUCUCUGUAUGUUUUUGUUGCUGCUGCUGCUAUCUCGAUGGUUGAAGGCUUUGAAGCUCUUUUAUUUAUAGAGAUCUGCAAAUGUGUUAAAAAAUUCCCAAUGGAGGGAUCUCGGAAUCUGAUUUUUUCUUUUUAAAAAUCCAUUUUCUUAUUCAUUAAAAUACACAGAAGCUCAUGGCAAGUCAGCUAAAGCCUGAACAUGUUACAGCUCAUUUAAAUUAUAUGAAUAUUUAAAUAGUAAUCUGAUAUGA
Long non-coding RNA from Jatropha curcas, 663 nucleotides. RefSeq lists it as uncharacterized. The record is from RefSeq and is a predicted model, not a curated record. NCBI's taxonomy places the organism in Eukaryota, Viridiplantae, Streptophyta, Magnoliopsida, Malpighiales, Euphorbiaceae.